RNAcentral lists this ribosomal RNA (433 nucleotides) under uncultured bacterium. RNAcentral describes it as "partial 16S ribosomal RNA". It matches the Rfam family "Bacterial small subunit ribosomal RNA", at positions 29 to 507 of the family's 1533-position model. The record is from RNAcentral.
AACGAACGCUGGCGGCAUGCCUAACACAUGCAAGUCGAACGAGACCUUCGGGUCUAGUGGCGCACGGGUGCGUAACGCGUGGGAACCUGCCCUUAGGUUCGGGAUAACUCCCCGAAAGGGGUGCUAAUACCGGAUAAUGUCUUCGGACCAAAGAUUUAUCGCCUUUGGAUGGGCCCGCGUUGGAUUAGCUAGUUGGUAGGGUAAAAGCCUACCAAGGCGACGAUCCAUAGCUGGUCUGAGAGGAUGAUCAGCCACACUGGGACUGAGACACGGCCCAGACUCCUACGGGAGGCAGCAGUGGGGAAUAUUGGACAAUGGGCGAAAGCCUGAUCCAGCAAUGCCGCGUGAGUGAUGAAGGCCUUAGGGUUGUAAAGCUCUUUUACCCGGGAUGAUAAUGACAGUACCGGGAGAAUAAGCGCCGGCUAACUCCGUG